This 98-nucleotide non-coding RNA is filed under the name uncultured Cytobacillus sp. Its description in RNAcentral is "SAM riboswitch (S box leader)". It matches the Rfam family "SAM riboswitch aptamer (S box leader)". Rfam says of the family: The SAM riboswitch is found upstream of a number of genes which code for proteins involved in methionine or cysteine biosynthesis in Gram-positive bacteria. The SAM riboswitch acts at the level of transcription termination control. Lineage: Bacteria; Bacillati; Bacillota; Bacilli; Caryophanales; Bacillaceae. The record is from RNAcentral.
UCUUAUCCAGAGAGGCGGAGGGACUGACCCGGUGAAGCCUCGGCAACCAACAAUCUUUUGUAUGGUGCCAAUUUCAGAGGAUACUAUCCAAAGAUAAG